CUCCAUCCUUACUCCCUGCCCUCCUUCCUUACUCCUUGUCCUCUAUCCUUACUCCCUGUCCUCCAUCCCCGCUCCCUGUCCUCCAUCCUUGUUCCGUACCCUCCAUCCCCGCUCCCUGUCCUCCAUCCUUGUUCCAUACCCUCCAUCCCCGCUCCCUGUCCUCCAUCCUUGUUCCAUACCCUCCAUCCCCGCUCCCUGUCCUCCAUCCUCACUCCUUGUCCUCCCCUAUUGCCCCAGAGACGCAAAAUGGACCUCACUUCACCAGCAGCCCACAUGGGCACCCAGAGAGCUGCAUUUCUCCAAAGCCUGGACGCAGAGAAGCUUGGGAGAACCUCUGCGAGUGGGACAAGGAAUGCCCACCAUCCUUAUAUCCUCCUCUGUCCCUGCCCUGAAGAUGGCGAAGGUGGCAACCAAGCGGAAGGGCACGAAGUCAGCACAGCUUCAGCCCGGCACGCACAGAACACCAUUCCCACCAGCAAAAAGCCACCUCCGGUCUCCCAGAGCUCUUCUCAAUUUCGAACAGCUUCAGAACUCAUCUCACUGAGGGUUCCUCAAUGCCUCCUGGAUCCCUCCGGGUCAUCCCGGCCCCUCCUGGGUCCCUCCCAGCCCAGCAGCGCAGAGCCCACGCUGACGCUGGAGCACAGACGAAUCCCUCUCGGCUCACUUUUCAGGUGAAGCAAACUGAAUCCCAGCAAGGGGAGGCUGGAAAUGCUCCAGCCUACGGCGGGUCCCACCUCUUCAACGGCUGUGUUCCAUCACCAGAGAGCCAGCGUGUGCUCCAGGGAGCAGCCCGCGGCACCUGCCGGGAUUGCGCAGUGCCAACAGCCGUCAGCUCUGACAAGGCCUGACACUCUUAUUGCUGCACAUGGCCAGUUACGGUAAUACGAAAGGACUCCUGUCCUCCUGAGCCCGCCGUGAUUGAAUUAACAUGAUCACCCUUUUUUUGCCAGUAACGUAGACCUGGGUUUUUUUGGGUUUUUUUCUCCUUAAAUCAAUAAGACACGUCGUUUGCAAGAGGCUUUUAUCGUGCCGUGUUCACACAAGCCUGUGAGCCCGACCCCCCCUCACACCUCCAUCAGUGACAGCGAUGUGUCAAUGGGCACCGUUCUGCUCGCUGGAUGACGCUGAGCUCUGCUGAGGAUCUGCCCCUGCUGCCAGCCCAAAAGAACGUGAACAACGCUCCCCCAAGGAGCAGCAAGGGGAAAAGAACGCUGCUUUCCAAGGCGCCGGGUAGAGUUUGGGUGCUGGACCAGAUGGGGGUUGGAGCUUGAUGAUCCUUGAGGUGCCUUCCAACCUGGGCCUUUCUAAGACCUUGGAAGGUCCCUUCCAACCCAAAUGAUGGGUGGGAAUUACGAGGGCAGAGUGGGAAUCCAGCAAAGUGACCCCAGGGAGCACAGCUGUGCUUCAGGAGCUCCUCCUCCUCCCGGCGACGGUGGUUGGACUGCCCAAAGCAACGCUGAGUGGGGGGACGGGGGAGAACCCGAACGGAAAGGAUGCCAAAGACACCCAGAGCGGCCAAGUUGGAAAGUAAAGAGCAGGAAUUCGUAGGGGGAUGGGAUGCGGGCUAACAAUGAAGAGCAAAGCUCAGCCACGGCUUCUGCCAGCGCUGCUUGGAGAGGUUGUAUGGGACACAACAUGAGCACGGUUGGCAAGCCUGGUGGGGAUGGGCUGGUUGGAUGUGGGGAUGUUGGAGGUCAUUGCCAGCCUUAAUGGCUCCGAUUCUCUGAGCAAACACGGUGGGGAUGGGUUGGUGGUUGGAUUUGGGGAUCUUGGAGGUCAUUGCCAGCCUUAAUGACUCCGAUUCUACGAGCAAACACGGUGGGGAUGGGUUGGUGGUUGGAUUUGGGGAUCUUGGAGGUCAUUGUCAGGCUUAAUGACUCCGAUUCUCUGAGCAAACACGGUGGGGAUGGGUUGGUGGUUGGAUUUGGGGAUCUUGGAGGUCAUUUCCAACCUUAAUGGCUCCGAUUCUCUGAGCAAACACGGUGGGGAUGGGUUGGUGGUUGGAUCUGGGGAUGUUGGAGGUCAUUGCCAGCCUUAAUGACUCCGAUUCUACAAGCAAAACAUGGUGGGGAUGGGUUGGUGUUGAUUUGGGGAUCUUGGAGGUCAUUUCCAACCACGGUGUUUCCACACUUCGGUCGCUGUACAACAGAUGUUGGCCGAUGAGGUCCAUUUUGCUGCCUGAAGGAGUCCGGAUGCAGGUGAGCGCUGCGCCGGGCCACCAGAAUCAGCGGUUUGUAAGGUUCUCAAUGACCAAGACAGACCUUGGAGGUCUCUUCCUUCAUCAUUCUACGACUCCACGGCUCGGGAUCUCCUUUCUUAGCUGCCUCAGUGGACGGUGCUGGCGCACAUGGGCUCGGGAAAGCCUCCUGUCCUCCACAGCCCCUUACAGAACAAGCUGGCUGAUCCUACUGGGGACGAAGGUCGGUGCUGCCCACCCUCUGCCUGCACAGCAGCACGACGGGAAGGGAAAGCGAAGACCCACCUCCUCUCUCACUCCCUCCACGCGUGCGGAGCUGUUAAACACCCCAAACACAACGUCACCGUGCCCACGACCACUCCGAGAGGGACCUAAUUUGCUCCCCUGCCCUACGGGGGAACUACCCUUAAGCACUCGGCCGCUCGCACGCUUAUUGCCCUCGCCACGGCGGGACGUUAAGCUUCGGCGCAGUGAGAUGAUUGCUUUUUAAAUCCCAGUCUCCCAGGAUUUUAAUUACUGGUCUGGCAGGGCUGGGAGUGGAAGUUGCUGCCGUCGGACGGAGGGGUCGAUACGCCGUCCCGGAACAUAUUGAGCCACGGUGCUCGCAGGCUCUAUUGAACUAUUUAAUCUUUCUUUUUUUUUUUCUUGCAAAAUUUACCGCGCGGCAGAAGGGAUCAAUACUGAAUUUAUCACGUUGCCUCGUAAAUAUGAGCACGGAGAGGGGAAAGAGCGUCUCAGG
This 2936-nucleotide long non-coding RNA is filed under the name Gallus gallus (chicken). RNAcentral's name for it is "lncRNA (ENSGALG00010003770.1)". The record is from RNAcentral. Lineage: Eukaryota; Metazoa; Chordata; Aves; Galliformes; Phasianidae.